RNAcentral lists this ribosomal RNA (216 nucleotides) under Glomeromycotina sp. RNAcentral's name for it is "partial small subunit ribosomal RNA". The stretch from base 44 to 216 matches the Rfam family "Eukaryotic small subunit ribosomal RNA", at positions 690 to 864 of the family's 1831-position model. The record is from RNAcentral. Lineage: Eukaryota; Fungi; Glomeromycota.
GGGUCAGUAGGUUGGUCGUGCCACCGGUACGUACUGGUCUCACUGAUUCCUCCUUCCUGAAGAACCGUAAUGCCAUUAAUUUGGUGCUGCGGGGAAACAGGACUGUUACUUUGAAAAAACUAGAGUGUUUAAAGCAAGCUAACGCUUGAAUACAUUAGCAUGGAGUAAUGAAAUAGGACGAUCGAUCCUAUUUUGUUGGUUUCUAGGAUUGACGUA